AGUGAACGCUGGCGGCGUGCUUAACACAUGCAAGUCGAACGAGAACGGGUUAUAGCUUGCUAUAAUUGUCAGCUAAGUGGCGCACGGAUGAGUAAUGUAUAGGUAAUAUGCCUCUUACUAAGGGAUAACAAAUGGAAACGUUUGCUAAUACCUUAUACUCCUUAUUAACAGAAGUUAAUAAGGGAAAGAUUUAUUGGUAAGAGAUUAGCCUGUAGUGUAUCAGUUAGUUGGUGGGGUAAUGGCUUACCAAGACUAUGACACAUAACUGGUUUGAGAGGAUGAUCAGUCACACUGGAACUGAGACACGGUCCAGACUCCUACGGGAGGCAGCAGUGGGGAAUAUUACACAAUGGACGAAAGUCUGAUGCAGCAACGCCGCGUGGAGGAUGACACAUUUCGGUGCGUAAACUCCUUUUAUAUGAGAAGAUAAUGACGGUAUUAUAUGAAUAAGCACCGGCUAACUCCGUGCCAGCAGCCGCAGUAA
RNAcentral lists this ribosomal RNA (484 nucleotides) under uncultured bacterium. RNAcentral's name for it is "partial 16S ribosomal RNA". It matches the Rfam family "Bacterial small subunit ribosomal RNA", at positions 29 to 523 of the family's 1533-position model. The record is from RNAcentral.